Molecule: long non-coding RNA, 1121 nt
Organism: Atta colombica
Lineage: Eukaryota; Metazoa; Arthropoda; Insecta; Hymenoptera; Formicidae
Exons: 3
Source: RefSeq, a predicted model, not a curated record
CUUACAAUGCAAACUGUUUCGCUGGAAUCUUAAUGUCCGAACUGUAGAACAAAUUCUUUGGAUGAUGAUCAUCUUUGUUGCAAAGUUAUGAAGCGAAGACAAUUGGGUUCUGAAAUAAGGUCGCGGAAUAAUAGUCUGCGAACGGAAUGCAAUUGAGCGACGUCCUAAAUAGAGAUUAAAGAUCCAAGAAUUCUGUCGACCGAACGUGUCUAUAGACGUUGCAUCCGGUGCAUCGUGCAAGGUGCUUCUUACAUCGCGACGAUGAAAAUCAAGGAGCAGAAGGUAUAAGCAAUAAGAUAUAAUGCCGCGGCGGAAAGAGGAGAACUAGAUUGCAAGAAAAGGAUGGAACAAGAUCGGGAAUGUCGAGUUGACCAUCUCGAUGACCAUGAUAAAAAGAUCGCGCGAAGGCAGACGUGACUCAGCCCAUCGUACGCAUACGCGAGACGCGGAUAACAGGGACCUCGGAAACCCCGGAAAGGAGAAAGUAUGCUCUGCGACUCAUCCGCGGAUUUCUGAGAGAGCGGACAAUCGCGGUCGUUUACUUGGAAAUUUGUUUUUUUAGGUCGAUUUCAAUUAUCACGUAGUCCGUGAGAUCCAGCAAUCGCCGCAGUUAAUCCGCAUUGAGUGAAAUGCUGGUUCCGUGUAUACAAUGGGAAACAACGGUACACAGCAUGUAUCCAACCGCUUCGAGAAACCAAUGAAAAUUAAUGGUAACAGGUGAUGUUAUCAGUUCUCGCAUAUAACAAACAUGCGAUUAGACAAACGGAUCCUUCAGCUUAUAUUAAUAAUUUAGUAUAAGUCUUCUUAUUAGCGAAUGGAUGCAAACACAAAUCAAUACAGAACCACUUUCACGUACUUCACUUUCUAAAUCACUUUCCGUGAAAAUCAAUUAAUUACCAGGCACAACUACGCACCUGCUACGUAUCUCAUCACACCUGAUUAUUAAGUGAUCUGUAUGAUAUGAAUAUAGAAACAUGUAUUAUUGGUAAAAAAGUAAUUAAUGCCAUACACUUUGAGGAGCAUAAUGCUUGAUUUUAUUCUAAUAGGAUAUGAGAUUUCUUGAUUUUGCAAUUAUAGACAAAUGUACUGUAUCAAGACAUAGCCACAGUUGCGCAAAUUAA